RNAcentral lists this long non-coding RNA (730 nucleotides) under Pogona vitticeps (central bearded dragon). RNAcentral's name for it is "lncRNA (ENSPVIG00000008338.1)". The record is from RNAcentral. Lineage: Eukaryota; Metazoa; Chordata; Lepidosauria; Squamata; Agamidae.
ACAUUGAAAUGAAUCGAAACAGGGAAGGAAAAAUUGGUCAACUAUCCAUUGUGCUAGAUGCCAAUACUAUAAUCGUGAAAGAUGGCCGAGUGUUUGUCAACCAAAAAUAAUUGUUAUACUUAAAAAUCACAGCACCUGUGGACUUUGUGGAGACAGCCAUGGCAGCACAGGCAAAGACAUCACAAACCUUAUUAAAGACAGCAAAAUCCCAGAUACAACUUGUCCCGAUCCUGUUAUUGAACAGACUCUGAAAUGUGAUGAUGGGAAAGUGGUAAGAACAAACUGUGCCUUCUUUAUAGUUUGACCACAAAAUAAGGUGAAUGUUUAUAUAAAACAAUUGAAUGGAUGCCACAAAUGUCUCCUUCUCUGUACAUACACACAUGAUUCAUAUGUUUCUUUUCUAUACCUUUGCUGCAUAAGAAACACACUUCUUGUGGCCCGAAAAACCCACAACAACCAAACACUCUUCUUGUCUGACUUCUAUGCUAUAUAUAGAUAAUCUAGGGAGUUUAAGAUAAGCCAGAAUGCUGUGGUGUGUUCUCCACAUCAUCACUGGGGUCCUUACAUUGGCCUGGAAGGGUUAUCUGUAGGAUCCAGCUAUUCAUGCAGAGCUGGUCCAGGGCCAUUUGCUGCCUGAAGUGAAGGACACUUCUUUUUCCAUGUAUAAAACCCAUCUGGAUUGCCAGUUGAAUCUUUCUUCAACACCGACAGUGAGCAGUGUCUUCCACAA